UACGUAGGGGGCGAGCGUUGUCCGGAUUUAUUGGGCGUAAAGAGCGUGUAGGCGGCCAGGUAGGUCUGCUGUGAAAACUCGAGGCUCAACCUCGAGACGUCGGCGGAAACCAUCUGGCUAGAGUCCGGAAGAGGAGAGUGGAAUUCCUGGUGUAGCGGUGAAAUGCGCAGAUAUCAGGAAGAACACCCGCGGCGAAGGCGGCUCUCUGGGACGGUACUGACGCUGAGACGCGAAAGCGUGGGGAGCGAACAGG
Molecule: ribosomal RNA, 253 nt
Filed under: uncultured bacterium
Lineage: Bacteria
Description: partial 16S ribosomal RNA
Rfam family: Bacterial small subunit ribosomal RNA
Source: RNAcentral